Homo sapiens (human) is the source of this 753-nucleotide long non-coding RNA. NCBI's taxonomy places the organism in Eukaryota, Metazoa, Chordata, Mammalia, Primates, Hominidae. The record is from Ensembl.
CGUCCGGGGCUGCCUCGGAGUCCGGGCUGGUGGGGCUGCGCAGAGGGCGAGAGGGGGGUGCUGCGCCGGGAAGCGGCCGCGCAGGCUCGAGUGGCGCGCGCCGCAGCGUCUUCCCCAGCUCUAAGCUCCCGAAGCUGCGCCGCAGCUCCUCCGAGCUUCAAGCUGCGGAAGACGCUGCGGCGCACGCCCUUCGCCGGGUACCCCGCUUGGGCCUCGCGCUCGGGCCUGGGUGAAUCGGCGCUCACACGGCGCCUAUGCUCAGCUCUGCGCAGGCGGAACAUCUGCCGAGCCGGCGCCGGAGCGGUAGGGCACGCUGAGGGGAUGCUCCACCGUGGCAUGCGAACGCGGACUGUGUCAGGCAUGAGAACGCGGGAGCCCUGCGGCUGAGGAAAGCAGACGUGCGGGGAGCCAAGCCCAGACUCUCAAGAGGGUAGAAAUGGCUACUAGGUAUAAUCAUGCUAAUUAUUUUUCUUUCUACUAAAUCUGCAGUAGGUGAAUUAUUUCAACAGCCAGAGUAUCAGAACCACAGAGCCCAUUCGAGAUUUUUAAAAAUCAGUAUUACCGUGUUCAAAGUUGUUUCUCUAAUUGUGACACCUUUUCGCCUUAUAACCGUAGCCUCACUUUAACACCUGGGAAGUUGGCAUUCUAUGAAAAAGAAAAAUCACAUUUGUUUAGAGGGAAGGUGGGGAGAGGUUGUCUCAAAGAGGGAAAGUCUGGAAAAUAAAGAUAUUUGGCUGUUCGCCCUCCCCUAAG